AACGGCAAGCCAAGUUCCUUAGCUCUCUUCCGCACACCGUCAAUGGGUACUUGGUGGGCGUCAAACAAUAACAAGAAUUAGAAAGAAAUCACAGCAAGGGUACUCAAAGGUCUUCUCCUGAGGUUAGUUUCCAUUUUAAGACGAGUUUUGAGAGGUAGGUAGGUACUAAACAAAAAUGACUAAACUUCUGCUCGAGCCGUCCGGCCGUUUAUUGUUAACCAUCUGACAGAAAUAUGAACUUUUAGAUAACUGCAGUCAUCUCAACGCUGGGAUUAUGUAAUACCGUGCUGGAAAUGGAUGGCGGCUACUCACAGCUAACCUGCUACAAAAGGCGCGCUCCUGUCCUGCAACACACAUUACGCCGUGAUGAGCGGAAGUAUGACGUCGGUCGGCUGCAUCCGAGUUAGCCCUGCCUGAGCAGUGAGCACUCACUGCGAAAAUAAAAAAAAUCAGGUGAUCGGUCUGAUCGAUUAUUCCCGGGAAAGGAUGUCACGCACAGGUCCUGCGGUGCCCUGGGCUCGGCCUCUCUCCGUCCUCUGCGAAGGUGGGCUCGUUGCUGGAAGAAUCCCCAGCGACAGAUAGAAGAGUGAGUGUGAGAAGCUCAUUCAGCUACCUCAUUGUCAGUUAUUGGCCGUACCUGAGAUCUACGGGGGUUCUCCCUUGGUUCUUGGAGAGCUCUGGUGGUGACGAACCCAGAGGCGCGCGUCGGCGGCCCUUUCACUCACAUCACUGGUGGAGGUGGAUGGAGGGUGGAUCCAGCUCCGAAGCGACCUUCCCCUAGCUCCUAGCUCAGCUGUUGACACUGGACGGCCUCAAAGGUAUCGGCCGGAUUGGCUCUACUCGUCCUCCUUGAUGGCCUUUUUGAGAGACACCGCAACUAGAGGGCCACCCUGGAGUCCAUUUGACGUAGAAAUUUACGGCGAAUCUAACAAAAAUUGUUUUUUGAUCCUACAAACAAUAGGAGCGGAGUUAUACAUUUAAAAAAAAUUAAAAUUGUCAUGUGACAUUACAAGACUUUGGUUUUAGGGGCCCAGUGGGAGCCCUUUGGGUUGGAGGCCCUCGCCAGUCGAUGCCCCUUGGCGAGACACGUCCACCCAUGUGAGGUUUUCCAUUUUUUGAAUUACUGCAAUAUUUGGAAAGUAAAAUUUUUAUGAAAAUUGUUUCACAAUGUGACCCAGAUUUUUCCCGGAUAUAAAAUGCCAAAUUAAACACAAAAUUAUUGAGAUAGGAUAGUUAAAGUUGUAUUAUGUCCUCUUAAUUUGCUCAGAAAAUAUUUUCCUGGUUUCGCGACCUUGGUAAAAAUUUGAUUUUAAAUAAAUUGUCUCUGCUGAAUAAUUCAACUCUUAAUUCAAGGUUUGGCUGAAAAAAAUCUGUUUGAAUUUUCAAAAAAUCUGGAAACCGUAUUACACAAAAUUCUGAAAAUCCUAUAAAGCUUAAAUGUUUCCCAUACACCUGGAAGAAACAAAAAAAUUUUUGGUUUUUAAGUGUCUGAGAAAUAAUAAAAAACUCGGUUCUGUUCUUUAAAACCCUGAAAAAUGUGAUUUUUGUUAAAAAGGUUCAAUUUUAGUGUUGAUUUCAAGCGACUGUUGGCCAAAACUUGAUUGAAAAUAAUUUAUUUUGAUUUUUCUGGGCCAUGGGUUGAGGACUGAGAGACUGAGACCAACCCCGUGCUCCGAAAG
This is a long non-coding RNA of Cloeon dipterum, 1679 nucleotides long. RefSeq lists it as uncharacterized. The transcript has 5 exons. NCBI's taxonomy places the organism in Eukaryota, Metazoa, Arthropoda, Insecta, Ephemeroptera, Baetidae. The record is from RefSeq and is a predicted model, not a curated record.